RNAcentral lists this non-coding RNA (781 nucleotides) under Mythicomyia sp. The record is from RNAcentral. Lineage: Eukaryota; Metazoa; Arthropoda; Insecta; Diptera; Mythicomyiidae.
GAUGAAUUUUAUUUUGGUUUAUAUAUUUAUUUAUAGAUUGUUUUAUAUGUAAGCUUUUGUGUUCUAUUGAAAAUUAAAGAUUUAGAUAGUAUGAUGAUUGCAGUAAAUGGAAUUAUUAGUUAAUUAAGGUUAGAUAUAGUAAUUCUUAUAGGAUUGACAAAAAUUGUGCCAGCAGUCGCGGUUAUACAAUAAAUUCAAAUAAAUAUUCUUGGUGUUAGUUAAAUUUACGUGAGUUAGUUUAUGAAAUUAAAUUUUAGGUGAAAUUUAAUUUUUUUAAAUAAAUUAUUGAUAGUAUGAUUGAAGCUAGAAAAUUUUAGAUUUAAACUAGGAUUAGAUACCCUAUUAUUUGGAAUGUAUUUUUAAGGCCUGAGUAGUAGUAGAUAUGUUCUUGAAACUUAAAAAAUUUGGCGGUAUUUUAGUCUAUUCAGAGGAACCUGUUCUGUAAUCGACAGUCCACGUUGGACCUAACUUACUUUAGUUAUUACAGCUUGUAUACCGCCGUUAUUAAAUAUUUCAUUAGAAUUAUAAUGUUUAAUAUUUUUUAUUAAAAUUAAUGUCAGGUCAAGGUGCAGCUUAUGGGUAAGGAGAAAUGGGUUACAAUAAAGUUAUUUAUACGGAUAUUGAAUUGUAAUAUUUGGUUAAAGGUGGAUUUGAUAGUAAAUAGAUAAAGAUUGCUUUUUUGAUUUUAGCUCUAAAAUAUGCACACAUCGCCCGUCGCUCUUGUUUAAUUCAAGAUAAGUCGUAACAAAGUAGAUGUACUGGAAAGUGCCUCUAGAAUGAC